ACCAGCCUACGGGCGCAGCAGUAGGGAAUCUUCCACAAUGGGCGAAAGCCUGAUGGAGCACCGCCGCGUGGGUGAAGAAGGUCUUCGGAUCGUAAAACCCUGUUGUUAGAGAAGAAAGUGCGUGAGAGUACCUGUUCACGUUUCGCCGGUAUCUAACCAGAAAGCCACGGCUAACUACGUGCCAGCAGCCGCGGUAAUACGUAGGUGGCAAGCGUUAUCCGGAUUUAUUGGGCGUAAAGGGAACGC
This 246-nucleotide ribosomal RNA is filed under the name uncultured bacterium. Its description in RNAcentral is "partial 16S ribosomal RNA". It matches the Rfam family "Bacterial small subunit ribosomal RNA", at positions 333 to 572 of the family's 1533-position model. The record is from RNAcentral.